RNA transcript from Mesocricetus auratus (golden hamster), 2717 nucleotides. It is a transcript of the gene named Friend virus susceptibility protein 1, with no coding region annotated. The transcript has 8 exons. NCBI's taxonomy places the organism in Eukaryota, Metazoa, Chordata, Mammalia, Rodentia, Cricetidae. The record is from RefSeq and is a predicted model, not a curated record.
UUUCUCGUGCUUGGCCCGGGCGCCAUGCGGUGUGCGGUGCUGCCCUGGGAAGGGCGAGUCCGGAGGUAUCGUGGCCCGGCCGCGGGCUCGCGUGUCGCGUGGAUGGGCUCAAGGGCGCUGCUUGGGGCCGCGGGCGCGCUCGGGUUGAAACCGGGGUGUCCCGUGAAGGGACGGAUGCGGGCGCUUUCGGGGACAAUGCCUCACGCCAGGGGUGUGGAGCUGGGGAUGCCGGGACGGGCCUUCCUUUGUCUGUGCCUUAGCCGGGCUACGCCAUUUCUGCUGCUCUCGUCGCGGGUCCUGUCCGCCAUCUUACCCGUUUUUAGGUGGCAGGGAGGGGGGUGUGUGUCAUAGGAUUUUCCUCCCAGUGACAGCCCCGUGCUACCUGCAGGUUCUCUCCGUAGGAAGUCUCUACCACUGCCCCUACCUCCGUGUGGGAUUUUGGCAUUUUUGUGCAACCUAGAACACAUGAGGGCUGGAGGAGGAUGGGGUGUAGGGGCAGACACAAGAUACGGAGUUACCGAGGCGGAAGUGAGUCCACGUGGAGGACUGGAGUGCUUCGGAGCCGCAGGUAGGAGUAGACAGGAGAAAGGAAGUCAGGCCUUUUUUCCCGCCCGCGAGAACACCGAUGCAGUGUUGGACCUGAUGGUACAAGCAUGUCAUCCCAGCUACCCGAAUUUUGAAAGUAAAUCACGUAUUUCACCCAAGGUGUGUCUUGAAGACAAGUCACCGUCUACCAUCAUCUCUUUGUGACAGACAGUUCCUUCAGACCGCAGGCUCCCCCCCCCAGGCGGUUUCGGCAGACAGCCUGCUUCCCUCCAGAAUGUGACCUUGGCCAUGGCCGUGUUCACCAUCCUCGCUUCCAUCUACUUCUUCCACAAGGCUCAGCAGUGAGGAAGCACAACAGGUCCCCAGCCCACCAGCCUGGCCCCUGCUCUGCUGCCAUGGCUCUGGCCUCUGAGAUCUAAUAAAUGAACAGCAUCAGACCAAGGCUUCCUGCUGCCCACAGCCCUGCUCCCACAGCCCUGCUUCCCACAGCCCUGCUCCCCACAGCCCUGCUCCCCACAGCCCUGCUCCCACAGCCCUGCUCCCACAGCCCUGCUCCCACAGCCGCCCUGCUCCCAAACAGCCCUGCUCCCACAGCCCUGCUCCCACAGCCCUGCUCCCACAGCCCUGCUCCCACAGUCCUGCUCCUCCAGGUCCACGGAUUGCACAAUCAGCCAAAAUCUCAGAACAAGAAGAAAAGUAGAGACCUCGUCCCUAGAUCUGAGGGAGGAGGCUUGGGCCCUGUCCCUCCGAGUCUGAGGGAGGAGACUGGGCCCUGGACCACUGAGUCUGAGGGAGGAGACUGGGCCCUGGACCUCCGAGUCUGAGGGAGGAGACUGGGCCCUGGACCUCCGAGUCUGAGGGAGGAGACUGGGCCCUGUCCCUCCGGGUCUGAGGGAGGAGGCUGGGCCCUGGACCUCUGAGUCUAGGGAGGAGUGCUGGAGCUUGGAUCCCUGGGUCCCUGGGUCUGAGGGAGGAGUGCUGGAGCUUGGAUCCCUGGGUCCCUGGGUCUGAGGGAGUUUUGGAAACUGAGGCAGGAGUGACAGUGACUUGUGCUCUCUAGUUGGAGGAUCAGGGUCCAGUGUCUGAUCUGGGUUUUGAGGAAUGAGUAGGAGUCUGUAAGGGCACAUGGGUAUCCGAAAGGCAUUUCAGCUGAUGCUGGAGCACGAAGAUGACUUCCAGGCUCCAAUUCUCCACCUGGCACCAAGCAACUUGUUCAGGACUUAAGGCUUGUCACUUCUCUCUGAGCACUCCUGCCAGCCGAGGUGAAAACUGCUUAACAGAAGGCCACACUAAGGAUUGCUGGAGGUCAAAUGCUGAGCGGACAUGACUGUGUAAGUGCCCAGAACCUCAAAUAGGGGAUCUGCCAGGCAGCACUCAGGCACCUUCCUGCCACUUCUCCAGCCUCCCCAGCGGAAUGCCAUGAGGAACACCUCUGUCCAAGUGACCUCUGAACAAGAGUCUAAGUGGCCAUGGAGUUGGAGUUUUAAUUUGUGGAGCAGACUGGCCCUCCCGCCUGGACUCGCUCCUAGACUCUUCCCAAGCCUCCACCUCCUGCUGUCAGCAGAGUGGCCUCUCUCCAACCCGAGACCACCCUGACCCUCUCUCCUCUCAGGGCCCCCCCAGGCCUCUCUGCUAUAUCCUUAGUCCCAUAGCUCAACCCAGUAAUACGGUUACCCCAUGACUGUCCACCUGCGGGCCCACAGCUGAGGCGAGCUUCGGAACAUCUAUUUCGCAAACACUGAGAGCAUUCCUUCCUGCCUCCCCUCCUCACUCCCCAGGUGGGCUUGGCUGCUUAACCGCAUAACCAAGUCAACCUUUGUGUCACCCACAUCCUCCUGGCUCCAGCGCUUGACCGUUUAUGAGGUCUCUGUGUCCUCAGAGGGCUAUCAACUUAGCAUUUCCUCAGCCGCAGUCUAUCCAGGGCGGAUGGAUACAUCUCAGGCCGGCGCUGUGGUGAUCCACUGAGCUGGGGGGGGGGGGGUGACGACAUCGGACUCCGCUCUGAAAGCUCCCCAGGGUGCUAUGAAUGGACAGUUGGGAUUCUGAGGCUGCUCACUAUUGGGAAGAUGCUGAGCGCUUCGCAGAAAUUCUUUCAGAGACCUCUACUCAGAGAUGGAACUUUUUAAAAUGUUCACUGUUUAUUUUUAAAAAUAAAUACUUGCUAUGUGUCA